Long non-coding RNA from Homo sapiens (human), 4049 nucleotides. RefSeq annotates it as E2F1-regulated inhibitor of cell death. The transcript has a single exon. NCBI's taxonomy places the organism in Eukaryota, Metazoa, Chordata, Mammalia, Primates, Hominidae. The record is from RefSeq and is marked validated.
AUUCGCAAGGCACAGAGCCAACAGCUCCAGCAGUGGGGGCCACCAUCAACGGACCAAGGUGGGCCAGGGGGCCUUCCGGACCCCACAAUUUGGGGCCGGUCUGCAGCAACGAGGGCAGCAUCGGGAAUGCGAGCCUCCUCGCCCGGCCGGGUAAACAUAAGCCCAGAGCCCGGCGGGGCCUGCGCCGCCUGCGGCCCGGCUGGGGCCCAGCGGACAAAGGGGAGCAGGCGGUGCCCCGUCCCAGCGGCCAGGCCGGCCGAGAGAGCCAGGAGCCACGUGCCCGGUGGGAGCACGCCAAAAGCAGGAGAACACCUGACCGUUUUUUUGGCCCACCAAGGAGACCGCCUUCUACUCUGCAUUUAAAAAGAAAAACAACGCGUUACCGCUUUAAGUUUUUUAGAACUUUUCCAGAGAAAGGCCGACUAGCAACAAGGGGUGCUACAGGAAUCCACCUCGCCUCACCUCUCCUAGGAAAUUGUAAAAGGAAUUAGCACUUGAAUGGGGAGGCCGGCGUGUCUGGAAUGAGAACGAGCCGCGCACGCAGUUUGAGGGUUCCGGGGAGCCGCGUCCUCCCCUUUCCAGGCGACAGCCCUAACUACAGGAAUUGGCCAAAAUUCAGCAUUUCCAGACUUUCCUUGGGAAAAGGGGCCGAAGAAGUGCCGGCAACAAGAAGGGCCACAACGGAGCGCGCCACAGACUCACCGCGGCUGGGGUCGGGACCGGCGCAGCCCCCUCCCCUCCCGCCCGUGCGCGCCCCGAGCCGGGCGCCCCGACCCGGCCUCCACCCGCUCAGGCGCUCAGGGUCAGGCCGGGCCGGGCUGCGGCGCCCCCAUCCCCGCCCGGGCAGCGAGGCCGGGCCAAGCGGGGCGCUCCGGGCCUCGGGCCUACACGCGGCGGCCGCCUCGGCCCCGGCCCCAGCCCGCGGGCCCCGGGCGGGGGAUGCGAGGACGCUGGGACGCGGGCCCGAGGCGCGGGAGGGGCCCAGGCCGCGCGGGGCGCCCCGACGACUCGCGGGGGCCGAGGAGGCCGGGGCUGCGCGUCCAACGCGGGGCCGAGAAAACGGCCGGCUCGGCCCCGCCGCCGCCGCUCCUCGAGCCCCCAAGCGCGGCCCCGGCUCGCCCGCCCCCGGCCCCCGCCGCCCCGACCCCGCGGCCCCCCGAUCCCCGGCCCCUGCCGCCCGCGCCGGGCCCGCCAACCACGGGCAGGAGCGCGCGAACGGCCGGGCGGGCGCCCCGAGCGCCAGGACUCACCGGGGCCGGCUCCCGAGUACAUGGUGGCGCCGCCGAGGGGCUCCGGGGCCGAGGGGCGGCCGCGCGCGCGCCACGGGCCCCGACGCCGCGAGCCGCGAGGGAGCCGCCGGCCGCACGAUCCGCCCCGGCGCGGCCGCCUCGCCAAACAGGUUUACCCGACGCGGCCGGGGCGGCGGGCGGAGGCGGCGGCGGGAGCGGGAGCGGGAGGGGCGGGGGAGGAAGGAGGAGGGAGGGGGAGGGGAGGCGAGGCCGGCGGCGGGAGCGCGCUCGCGGGGGGAGCGGGGCUGGGCGCGCGGGCGGGGUCCGCGGCGGCGGCGGCGGCGGCGCCGGGUCUGGCGGGGCCUGGGGCGGGGACCCGGGGAGGGGCCCGGAGACCUCGCCGGGCGGUGGGAACCGCGGGCGGGAGCGGGGACGAGGGCCGAGGGCGGCGCGGCCCGUGUGGCGCGGGGGCGGGCGCGGCCCCGGGGACCCUUCACUGCCACCCAGAGAAGCCGCGUCUUCCCGACGGGGAGGAGCCGGGCCCCCCGGCUGUGCCGCCGGAGCCGGAGGGGAGGCCACGCGCCCCCGCUUUCCCCGCCGCCCCCCGGUGGGGGGCGCAGAACCCUCCCACCCUCAGCCCCUCGGCCCCCAGCCUGGCUCUUUAAGUUACUACAGAAACACGGAGGUCGGGAAGCUCCCUCCCAGCCCGGAGCUUGAACUUGAACGCGGCCGGCCGCUCGCGCAGGACCACACCGCCACCUCCCGGCGCGGCCCCAGAACCCAGAUAAUCCGUUUAAAGCACUGAGAAAAUCUAAGAAGUUUUUAGUAAACUGUAGCUGGUAUCAGGGAUCAGAUCAGCGGACACGCCCAUUCCAGCAGUCAGGGGCCUGCUCGGACCGUCGUGCACCUCCGAGCGUUUCUGUCCGGUCCCUCUGGGUCCGUCUGGUUUUCGGAGGCUUUCCUGGAAAAGCCAGCCUGUGGCUACCUCCUUUCUCCCCUAAGUGAUGGAGGAUUAGAAGGCAGAGGUUGACCCACAAUCUAAAGUGCCUGGUCGCCUUUUCCCAGAUUUCCCGGAGCAUUCCUUCACCCCGUGGCAUCGGCUGUCUGCAUAUGGGUGCAAGGCCCUGUUCCGGGCGGAGAAUAAACAGGAGUUCUGACUGACAGGAGCUCCGCAGCCAGCAGGGUGGUCACUAGUUCUCUGCAGUCUCGGAGGACAGCCCUGAAGAAGGGCAGGAGAACCAGCACUUCCUCCGAAAACUCAAAAGGACAUCAGUCUUCACCAAGUUGCCGAUACAAAACGUGCUCCUGAAAUGUGUAGUAAUGAACACCAGGAAACCUGGGUAGGAGUGUGCAUGGCAUUCUUCAUCACCGCUUGGACUGCAUGGCACUGAAUACCCACGGAGAGCAGGAUGGAGAAACAGUGUGCUCAUAUUCACAGGAUGGAAUCUAGCCAUUCACAAAAAUUCCAAAACAGGCAAAAUUAAACUGCAUUCUUUAGGGAAGCAUCAUUAAGUAGUAAAUAAUUGACAGAAGGGCAAGAAGGUGCUUACUCUAAGUGUCAGAAUGGUGGAUACAGCUGGGGGUGAGAGGGCUGUGACCACAGCAGGGCCCCUGGGGGAUUUGGGGGUGCCAGGCCUGUUCCUUCCUGCAAUGGUGCCCUUUGGCAGCCAUCCCUUAAACUGCACUUUUACUUUAUAUGCUUUUCUGUACCUUUACUGUAGUAUUUCACGGAAAUUUUUAAAUAAUCAUGAAUGUUACCACUUUCCUAUUUAUGAACCAUGCAACCUCAUCAAUCUUCCCAGUUCGCAGAUGCCCACCCUCUCUCUCUGCCCCUGUCUCCUUCACAUAUCCCCAAAACUCGUUUUGGCCCGAAAUCCCUGAGGCCCAACUGCCCUGCUGUCAGCGACUGCACGCCUCAGCAAAGGCCCAGAAGGCUCUGUCAUCACUGGCUGCCCUCAGCCCGCCUUCAGCUCCUUUGAGCGCUGUGUUGGGGAACUUUGUUGCAAGGAUUUCGUUCCAGAAGGCAAGAUAAUGUCUCUGAGGGCUUCAUUGUGUCACUUCUCUUUGGAUGGCGGACACCGUGGCCCUCUGCUGGCGGAGGGGUGCCAUUGCUGCCUGCCCCAUCUCUAUCCCCAGGGCCCAUGCAGUCACUGGGUUCGCCCUCUGGGGCACGGGGUUCCCUCUGCUCUUUUCCUAGAUAAGCCCAUUCUCUGCAGGUCUCUACCCUCCACACCUGUGUUCAGGAAUUCAGCCCGCUUCCUGCAGCCCCAUCCCUACCCUCCUCCCAACCUGCUUUUCUUCUGGUGUCCCUCACUCAGCAUGGCUAACAGAUCCACCACCCAACGGAGCUGAGAACUGCAGUCCCCUCUGCCUGUUACCUCUCCUGCCAUUAGUGAACCUGCUUAACUCAUCUGACUGUGCGUCUCGGUGCUUGCUGUGACAUGUCUCCAGCCCUUGCUGCUCUGUCCCCCAGACCCACGUCCCACACCCGGAUGGUGACUCAGCCGACUCUGGGUCUUCUGGACCCAGUGCUUCUCCCUGAUACAAUUCCUUCCUCUGUGUUUUAGGAUCCUGAUGCUUUGAUAAGACCGUGGGCUCUAAUCACAGCCAGGGACAUUUGCAGCAGCCUGGCCUGCAGCUCUGCACACUGGGUGCACUCAGUCUAAAGCACCAGCUCCCCAUGAGAGAGAAAGAAGGGGUGAGGGGAAGUACAGAGAAAGCUCCUGAGGCCACAGGGCUGACAAAGCCCUCGGCUUUGGGGGCACUUUGUUUCUUCAAGACUAAAAUGCAGGCAAUGGAAUAAAUCAUUUGUUCCUAAAA